This 393-nucleotide ribosomal RNA is filed under the name uncultured bacterium. RNAcentral describes it as "bacterial SSU rRNA". It matches the Rfam family "Bacterial small subunit ribosomal RNA", at positions 364 to 774 of the family's 1533-position model. The record is from RNAcentral.
UUGGACAAUGGGCGCAAGCCUGAUCCAGCCAUGCCGCGUGAGUGACGAAGGCCUUAGGGUUGUAAAGCUCUUUUGGCGGGGAAGAUAAUGACGGUACCCGCAGAAUAAGCUCCGGCUAACUUCGUGCCAGCAGCCGCGGUAAUACGAAGGGAGCUAGCGUUGUUCGGAAUCACUGGGCGUAAAGCGCACGUAGGCGGACUUUCAAGUCAGGGGUGAAAUCCCGGGGCUCAACCUCGGAACUGCCUUUGAUACUGUUGGUCUCGAGUCCGGAAGAGGUGAGUGGAAUUCCUAGUGUAGAGGUGAAAUUCGUAGAUAUUAGGAAGAACACCCGUGGCGAAGGCGGCUCACUGGUCCGGUACUGACGCUGAGGUGCGAAAGCGUGGGGAGCAAACA